ACUCAACAGACAGCUCUCCUGGCUCAAGUUACCAUCAUCUCUUCUUCAAGGGUCUGCUUUGUUGGUUGUCAUGAUCCAAUUUUCAUGGUUUUAUGAUAGCUUUGGUAGAGUUCUAUUCCUUCUGAAUCUUGGUAACUUCUAGAAAGAUAAAUGCAUUAUAAUGUUCACUAGAUGAGACAGAAAGAGGCCACUGGUUUCAUUUUAUGUUUUGUCAUUACUAUGAACUCUUUGAUUUGAU
This 238-nucleotide long non-coding RNA is filed under the name Arachis ipaensis. RNAcentral's name for it is "long non-coding RNA (AIPA_LNC002153)". Lineage: Eukaryota; Viridiplantae; Streptophyta; Magnoliopsida; Fabales; Fabaceae. The record is from RNAcentral.